This 64-nucleotide small nucleolar RNA is filed under the name Intoshia linei. Lineage: Eukaryota; Metazoa; Orthonectida; Rhopaluridae. The record is from RNAcentral.
ACUUAUAUGAUGACUAUACCGCCCCAGUCUUAAUUGAAUGAUGAUGGGUAUUUUCUGAAUAAUA